Molecule: long non-coding RNA, 869 nt
Filed under: Homo sapiens (human)
Lineage: Eukaryota; Metazoa; Chordata; Mammalia; Primates; Hominidae
Description: long independently transcribed non-coding RNA 1191 (LINC01191)
Source: RNAcentral
CCGGAUUCCGAAGCCCGGAGCCGUUUACAGUUUGAGGCGCCGUGUGCCGCCCCCUGGUGGCCGGAGGCCGUUACUGUCGCGGCUGAGGGGGCGUCCCGGUGUAUCCGCAGCGCGCCCUGGCCGCCCUCUGGUGGCCGGAGGCCGUUACUGUCGCGGCUGAGGGGGCGUCCCGGUGUAUCCGCAGCGCGCCCUGGCCGCCCCCUGGUGGCCGGAGGCCGUUACUGUCGCGGCUGAGGGGGCGUCCCGGUGUAUCCGCAGCGCGCCCUGGCCGACCCCUGGUGGCCGGAGGCCGUUACUGUCGCGGCUGAAGGGGCGUGUCCCGGUGUAUCCGCAGCGCGCCCUGGCUGCCCCCUGGUGGCCGGAGGCCGUUACUGUCGCGGCUGAGGGGGCGUCCCGGUGUAUCCGCAGCGCGCCCUGUCCCGCCAUAUACAUUCCGUGCUUUUCAAACACCCGCCGUGGGCUAAGCAUGGGACCCACGUGGGGCGGGGACACACGGCGAUAAAGAGCCAGGCCCUCGCUGCCAAGGAGCUUUCCCGUAACACCGAUGCAUCAAACAAAAGGCAGCAGUGAGGAUGCCAGAGUUCAUGGGUUUCUAGAAGACAAGUUUUCAACUGCAGAUACAAACAUCAGGACGUCAAUGUAUCUGCUAGGAGACACCCGGACAGUGUUGAGAACACAGAACCUGGAGGCUAAACCCCCAGCUUUCUAUGCCAGCUGAGAGUCUGUGGGCACAUUACUCAGCGUCUCUGAACCUCAUGCUCCUCCCCUGUGACAUGUAGAUUGCUAAACCCAUCUCACAGGGCUAUCUUCUGCAUUUAAAGAAUAAAAUAACACAUGAGGGGUCUAUCAAUGAAAAAAAAAAAAAAAAA